AGGAGGAGAGGGAAAUGUCACCCGGAGUCCCGGCUCCGGGGGGAGAGGUGGCGCGAUAGGGAUGUGUGAGGGAGAGAGAGAGGAGAGAGGGGCAGCGAGACCUCCGCCGGCCCCGCGGACUUGUCAAGUUGAAAACAGCAGGCUUUGGGGCUGAGACCAUCAUGGCCACGAACACUACAGCUACUCAGAAAAUACGUAAUUCUGGAGCUCCUUACAGAAAAAGUAGUGCAAGGCGACUUCAGAGCAGUUGCCAAGUGAUCUCCACAGCACCCAUGAACUUCAGCCUUGAACUGAAGAGGACUCAUCAAAUGCCAUAUGAGAGACAGCAUGGAAUUGCAAGAGAAGCAGGGAUCUCAGUGAAGGGCAGUCAACUACGGUCUUGGUGUGUGGAGGAGCAGGUCCUGUUCUCCCUGUUGUUGCUCCCACAUAGGCGGACUCUGUAAUUGAUUAUGUGUGGGUAGGGCUUUAUUGAAAUUCAGGAGAUUCUGCAAUAGUGCAGGGUUCUUUUUGUGAAAGUUCAGUUGCAAGAUCAGGACUCUACUGUGACUCCUUACUGUGAAUUCUGUCAGUGUAUCAUUGAUAGUGCUGGAACCUGCCUUUUGGGAUAAUUACCAAAUACUAUAUUCCUCAAAACUUCUUAAUGGCACUGAGGCUUUGUGGAUAAUUGGUCACAUGAUGAGAAAAUUCAGCUAAGGAAGGGAAAGACGAAAAACAGUGUAAUGAGCAUAGGAGAAAUAACAGGGUGAGAGGGGAGGAGUCAGAUCCUGCGGUUCAUGUGGCUGGCAAACACAGAAGUAAUUUCACGAAUGAAAAUGGAAGAUGCAAAAUCAAUGAAGAUUGUAUUAAAGAGUAAUACUGAAUAAAAGGAAAUCUGAGACACUGUUUACAAAUCAGAGCAGUUAUUUGAAAAGGUGGUUGAAGAGACAGCAAAGAAAAAUGAUAGUCAAUAAGGAUUUUUUGCCUGUUCAUGCAAGCAGUACUAUUACUCUGCUUACACUACUUGAUCCUCUGGGCAGGAAGCUGGUCUCAGCAUUGUCAAUACCCUUUUUCCUUGGCUUCUAACUCUAUAUAGCACAUGUUCUUCAGGUCUACUUUACCUGUAGUGUUGAGCUAUUGUGAUAGUUUGGUUUUUAUGACUUGCAUCAAGCAUGAAGCUUUCAAAACCAUGUGUCAAAGUCAUUCUUCUCCACAAAGAAACAAAUAAUCGUGGGGAAAAACAUCUAAAGGAGAAGAAUGUCCCCUCAGGAUCAGCAUUUCUUCACUUCAACAGAUGCAUAAGCAAAAUACAACGUGGUUUGUUCUUGAAUUAAGCAAUUCAGUGCUUGGACCUAAUCCUGAAACCUGUCACUACUUCAGGUGUUUUGUGUCUCAAAAGAUCACGGACUGCUCAUUGCCUGUGUGGCUCAUGAAGGCAACAAGAUGGGAGAACUGAAGAAACAGUGUUGCGAAGCCAUAUAUCUGCUCAAAGCCAUAAAGAAGACCAGUGACAAAUCCAGGAACAGAAACCAAGUCUCCUGAGUUGCAACUUACUGCCACUAAAUAUUGUGAUCAACAAGACAGUUUGCCUUCUGAUGUUAGUGAGGACCUAUGUAGCAAGUGGUGAUGAUCUCUGAGAUAUUUUUCUGCAGUAAGAGCCCCUGGGUAUCCCACCUGGCCUCUCACUGCUAGUUUAAAGAUGUGAGUCUCCUGUAAGUUCCACAUCAUCUCUUCCAGCCCUGCAUGCUCCAGGGUAUUU
Long non-coding RNA from Neopsephotus bourkii (Bourke's parrot), 1735 nucleotides. RefSeq lists it as uncharacterized. NCBI's taxonomy places the organism in Eukaryota, Metazoa, Chordata, Aves, Psittaciformes, Psittacidae. The record is from RefSeq and is a predicted model, not a curated record. The transcript is spliced from 16 exons.